Molecule: non-coding RNA, 2649 nt
Organism: Rattus norvegicus (Norway rat)
Lineage: Eukaryota; Metazoa; Chordata; Mammalia; Rodentia; Muridae
Source: the annotation of a RefSeq genome assembly
CACACACACACACACACACACACGCCUGUAUUUGUGAAACAAGUACCUUUCUGGCCCUGGUGGUAGACAGACAAAUCUCAUGUCAACUAUAGUGGGCCCUACCACCUGGUCUGAUAGCUGCAGUAGAACUCUGAGGUAGGACUUCUCUGCCCUGCCUUGAUCCAACCAUGAGCUAUAGGCUCCUAAGCUGUGUGGCCUUCUGCCUCUUGGGAGUAGGCCCUUUGGAGACGGCUGUUUUCCAGACUCCAAAGCAUCGUGUCGCACAGGUGGGAAGUGAAGUGUUCUUCAAGUGUGAUCAGACUCUGGGCCACGAUACUAUGUACUGGUACAAGCAAGACUCUAAGCAAUUGCUGAAGGUUAUGUUUAGCUACAACAAUAAGCAACGCAUUUUAAAUGAAACGGCUUCAAGUCGCUUCUUGCCUCAGUCUUCAGAUAAAGCUCAUUUGAAUCUUCGUAUCAAGUCUGUAGAGCCGGGUGACUCUGCUGUGUAUCUCUGUGCCAGCAGCUAAGACACAGUUGUGCACAGUCACUGUUUCCCUGUGCACAAACCCAGCCAGCCAGGAAGCAGUGCAGGCCAAGUGCUAGCCCACACCUGAGGCUCACCCCCAGUGCUUUUGAAGCAUUAGUGGUAUUUCAGUUUGAAGUCCAGCUUCCUAUGAUAAUACAGGAGGUGAACCAAUUCUGUGUUUUAUGCACAGAUGAAUCUCACAGAAUUCUGCAGAUUAGCCAGAAUGGUAGUUCACAUCAUAGUCACCCAAGUAGCUAAGCUUUGCCAACAGUGAAUGACCUUGGAGAUUUUAACUGCUGAGAGAAGACACUGCUUGUUAAUUUCGGCUGUGUGUGUAUGUUGCCUGUAACAUAAGGAUCAAAGGCAGAUGGUUUCUACAUAUAAGGGAUAUGAUACUAAAGGACCCGGCAAAGUAACUGGUUCUAAGCCUCCAUGGGAAAUUCAGAUUAUCACUGAGAUUUUGUUUUAAGAAAAAGGUAUCUGGAGAAACAUGAAUGCCCAUGGCCCUAGAAAAGAAAAGGUGAAGGAGAAAUCAUUUGAGUCAGGCUUGUACAGGCUUAUCACUACUCUGUUACCUUUCAACAAUCUGAAAACAGACAGCAGUGAAUGCCGGAGGAUAGUUUGGGAGACAGAAGGACUUUAGCUGCAAAUGUCCAUGCACUAGUUAAUUGUUGAGCCUACUGAUGUGACAUAAUACUGGUGGGAGCACUGCACAAAUGGUCCUUGCACCCACAGAUUUGCAGAACAACCAGAAAUGCUAAGCACACACAAUUGUCUUCUCAGAAAAAUGGACAUAAAGGCUGCUCUUCCAUCGAGAAAGCUGGAAAUUGGAGGAAAUUAAUAUCCCGGUGAUCUGUAUUGUCUGUUAGGCCAGGUUGUAUCAAACUUCUACAACUAAGACUGGAGGUAAAUACUAAUCUAAAUGAUCCUGACAUUAGCUAUACAGCCAGGGACUUCCACAAUCUCCCCCAACCAGGAUGAGAAGUACCUAAUAGUCUAAAUGACCCUUACAUUAUCUGCAAAGCCGGAGGCUUUCCCAUGCUUCCACAGCCAGGACCAGAGGUUGGUUAAUAAUAGCCCAUAUGCUAUCUGUAUGACCAAGACCUGGACAGGUUCUUCUUUAGGUUCUUAAGCUAGUAAAGGUAGAACCCAUCUUCCUGGAAGAAAUGGCAUGCACCCCGGGUUAAGUUUCAUUGUAAUUAUGUUUCCUGUGCACUUUCCCUAGAUUAUACUGCGUUAUAUUCAUUAGGAAUAAACCAACUGUCAUCAGACUCCCUGAAGUUUGAUCCAGUUUGGCAAAGACAACCUGAAGCAAGUUUUUAUUUUCACUUCUUUGCAAUUCGCUUUUCUGCCUGCUGCCACCACCUGCAGGGUCACCACAACAUAUGAUCAAAUUUGGGUUUUGGUACAGUACAACAGCAGUAUGGUCUAGGUGGGUGAAACUCAAAUAACUAUUCUGAAAGACAAAUAGUAAAGCAGUUGGUGUGCACUGCUGUUAGUGAAGCAGUGUGGAUGCUCCGAGUUUCAUACGUUCUGGUAGAAGUGCUGUUUUAUCCUCGUUUUUGAAUGCAUUUGGAAGGGUCAAGUUCAGCAUUGUUCUCAUUAUUAGGUAGCCCUAGCAUGGAGCUAGUAUUGCCAGGAAACAGACUUCCCAUGGAAAUCAAAGUGUACUUGUCAGUGUCUCUCCUACGUAGUGGGGUCUGAAUGGCAGAGUCUUCCAUUCCUAAGUGUCUGAUGAAAACUCUUCUCAGCUUUCCAGCCUUCGCGAUGGUUCUCCACUGUGCCUUCAGGUAGCCCAUGCUCUGCACACGCAAACUGAGCAGUGUUUGUCACUGCCCUUGCACUUCUCUGUGCCACAAGUUCUAGCUGUAUUGGAUUUUUUAACUUCAAGCACUAUGCAUUAUGGUAACUUUUCAAUCUAAGCACAACAGUAAGUGAAUGCUCCAAUUUACCGAAGGAUUGCGGAUCAUUUCACUGUUUUUAUUUGUAUCCUUACAUUUCCUAGACUAAAAGCAAAAACUCAACACUUUCCUUAAAACACGUUGGAAUAAUCACAUUGCAAUGAAUAUGUAGCAAUGAAUAUCCUAGUAAGAGCACCAGUGGAAGGGGAAGCCCUUGGUCCUGCCAAGACUGAACCCCCA